Molecule: long non-coding RNA, 1677 nt
Organism: Daphnia magna
Lineage: Eukaryota; Metazoa; Arthropoda; Branchiopoda; Diplostraca; Daphniidae
Exons: 3
Source: RefSeq, a predicted model, not a curated record
CCAUCAAACCGAUGUAUAGGCCUUUUUUGGAAUUCACGGCGAUUACUGCGAAACAAUUUUUAUUUUUUAAAAUAACAAAUUCAGGUAUAACGGAGGGAAUCCGGACUUCCCCUGUAGUGUAUUUAUAUUUUUAUCUUUCCACGUGCUGCGCAUAUUAGGAAUAAAAGUGUGUAGGACGUACAGUCUAGAACAUUCAGCUGGAAGGAGGGAAUCCAAAUGGGAUAGAGUCACGCUACGGGGCAUUACAAAAAGAAGAAGAAAAAAAUGUGAGGAUAGAAAUGCGUCACAGAUCACGUAUAGAAGAGACUGUAGUUACAAAUUUGGCCAGCAUCGUUAGAUCUGCAUAGUCAUGCCGAUUCAGCUGAUCUCAUCAAUAUACUGGACGUUAUUGCGCAGCAUCUAUUUGCUGUAUUUUCUAAACAUUUCUCGAGAAAUGUUAUUUUUAAUAUCAUUCUCACCUAAGUGAAUUUGCAUAAACUUAAAGGCAAGUCUACUGGAAAAUGGACUGUCUUUACGUAUUAGAAGCUCUUCAUACAUAUACACCUCCACUCAUUUAUUUCAAAUUUUAUUCUUCUUGCUCUUUUUGCUUUUAACUGAACAUCGUUUCGUUGGUUGUAUAACGGGUAACCUUCACGUAGCGCUGCGGGAUGUUUGAACGCAGUUCGCACAUACUGUUGUAAGGGUUUCGGUCGUUUCCGCACAUUGAUGGACUCUGCGGAAAAGAGCGAGCUUCGCACGUUCAUGUACGGGUCUCUUUAAAGAAUUAGAUUCGCUUUAACGCACUCUCAUUACAAAGUCAUAAUUCACUUUUUUUGGUUUAAACUCUAUACAUUACUUCUCAUUUGGCAUCAGGAAAAGGAAAGAAAAAAAUGUCCUUGCCAAGUCGAAACAGGAAAUAGCCGGAACGAUGACUGGACAAAUGUCGGAACACCUUAUAGACGCGGAACAUCCUUAUUUCAUUGUUACCAAACAAUAUUUCCAAGGCGAAAUUUUAUUCUUUAGCCCGCACGUGUUUAAGUUCUUGGUCGCUUUUGACAUAAAAUGCGGAAGAAAAAAAAAUAAUUUUUACUUAUCUUUAUCCGAAGGUCAUGUCCGUCCCUCAUUUGCAAAUUACUUGACAGCACUUCUCGUGAUAUAGUCAUCGUGCAAAAUGACCGAUGCGCAGAAAAGAAUGAAAAGCAUCAAACAUGUAAAUCAACAUGUUUUGUUCCAUGCGCCCAUAUAAGCUUGUUAUUUGUGGGGCGUGUCAUUUUUGCGGUGCCAGCCUGUACCAACUGUACAUCAUCCCCCUGGCUUUGUAACUUGAGAAUAAUAUGCUCAUCCGUAUAGCCGUAAAAAAAAAAACAUCUGUAAAAUUUGCAAUUCCCGCCGGGAACGGGGAGAUCCCUUUUGACAAGGUGACUGGGGAACACAACAUUAUUCUAAUCCGAUGCUCAAGGUUGGUGCGAGUUAUUCAACCUUGUCGUCGAGGGUGUUUUCCAUUGCACCUUUUACGCGCUUCCUGAAAGGAACUGAGGAAGAGCCUUUCCUGCGUCGAAUUCGUCGCUUUUGAAAACCAUUAACGAUAUGCGGAAAUAUUCACGCUGUAUAUUCAACGAGCUUUUCUUAUAAUCACCAACUGCCAGUGUGUAUAGAUGUACAUUGCGCAAUCCGCAUAAAGGAAUAAACGCGCCAUUU